CCCUGCACCCUCACGGCCAUAAAACAGCCACCCUGCUGCCCCACGGGCCACGAGAGACCAGGACACAUCAACCCUGGUGCCCUGACGGCUGUUAAAGAUGUCCUAAGUGCCCUGUAAGAUUAGCUGUAGGCCUAAUUGCUGUGGUGUCAGUGAGCGUCUCUCCCUUUGUGAUCGGGUUCACUUGGAGCUGUUAGCCCUGUUAAAUGAAAGAGCGCUGUUACAGAGGGUGGCAAGAAGUCCAGAUGAAAUGGACUUGAAUGAAGCAAUACAGAAUCCGGUGAGGCACAGCAAGGUGACUAAACACAGCGAGAACCAGCCAAAUGCAACGCGCAUCGGAAAUGUGAAACAGGUUGGCAUGAAAAUAAACGAGUCCUACUUUGCCUGAAGGGUGCGCAGGAGCUUCUUUCCUUUGAAUAAAUGUUUUA
Salvelinus sp. IW2-2015 is the source of this 425-nucleotide non-coding RNA. The record is from RefSeq and is a predicted model, not a curated record. NCBI's taxonomy places the organism in Eukaryota, Metazoa, Chordata, Actinopteri, Salmoniformes, Salmonidae.